RNAcentral lists this ribosomal RNA (914 nucleotides) under Staphylococcus aureus. RNAcentral's name for it is "partial 23S ribosomal RNA". It matches the Rfam family "Bacterial large subunit ribosomal RNA", at positions 255 to 1167 of the family's 2925-position model. The record is from RNAcentral. Lineage: Bacteria; Bacillati; Bacillota; Bacilli; Caryophanales; Staphylococcaceae.
GAAACGGGAAGAGCCCAAACCAACAAGCUUGCUUGUUGGGGUUGUAGGACACUCUAUACGGAGUUACAAAGGACGACAUUAGACGAAUCAUCUGGAAAGAUGAAUCAAAGAAGGUAAUAAUCCUGUAGUCGAAAAUGUUGUCUCUCUUGAGUGGAUCCUGAGUACGACGGAGCACGUGAAAUUCCGUCGGAAUCUGGGAGGACCAUCUCCUAAGGCUAAAUACUCUCUAGUGACCGAUAGUGAACCAGUACCGUGAGGGAAAGGUGAAAAGCACCCCGGAAGGGGAGUGAAAUAGAACCUGAAACCGUGUGCUUACAAGUAGUCAGAGCCCGUUAAUGGGUGAUGGCGUGCCUUUUGUAGAAUGAACCGGCGAGUUACGAUUUGAUGCAAGGUUAAGCAGUAAAUGUGGAGCCGUAGCGAAAGCGAGUCUGAAUAGGGCGUUUAGUAUUUGGUCGUAGACCCGAAACCAGGUGAUCUACCCUUGGUCAGGUUGAAGUUCAGGUAACACUGAAUGGAGGACCGAACCGACUUACGUUGAAAAGUGAGCGGAUGAACUGAGGGUAGCGGAGAAAUUCCAAUCGAACCUGGAGAUAGCUGGUUCUCUCCGAAAUAGCUUUAGGGCUAGCCUCAAGUGAUGAUUAUUGGAGGUAGAGCACUGUUUGGACGAGGGGCCCCUCUCGGGUUACCGAAUUCAGACAAACUCCGAAUGCCAAUUAAUUUAACUUGGGAGUCAGAACAUGGGUGAUAAGGUCCGUGUUCGAAAGGGAAACAGCCCAGACCACCAGCUAAGGUCCCAAAAUAUAUGUUAAGUGGAAAAGGAUGUGGCGUUGCCCAGACAACUAGGAUGUUGGCUUAGAAGCAGCCAUCAUUUAAAGAGUGCGUAAUAGCUCACUAGUCGAGUGACACUGCGCCGA